This 77-nucleotide transfer RNA is filed under the name marine bacterium AO1-C. Its description in RNAcentral is "tRNA-Val". It matches the Rfam family "tRNA". From Rfam's summary of the family: Transfer RNA (tRNA) molecules are approximately 80 nucleotides in length. Their secondary structure includes four short double-helical elements and three loops (D, anti-codon, and T loops). Lineage: Bacteria; Pseudomonadati; Bacteroidota; Cytophagia; Cytophagales; Cytophagaceae. The record is from RNAcentral.
GGUGGAGUAGCCUAGCGGCCAAGGGCGCCUGGUUUACAUCCAGAAGAUCGUAGGUUCGAAUCCUACCUCCACUACCA